Molecule: ribosomal RNA, 305 nt
Filed under: uncultured bacterium
Lineage: Bacteria
Description: bacterial SSU rRNA
Rfam family: Bacterial small subunit ribosomal RNA
Source: RNAcentral
UUCGCCUACGGGACGCAGCAGUGGGGGAUAUUGCACAAUGGGGGGAACCCUGAUGCAGCGACGCCGCGUGGGCGAUGGAGUGCUUCGGCAUGUAAAUCCCUAUCAGCAGGGAAGAAAAUGACGGUACCUGACUAAGAAGCCCCGGCUAAGUACGUGCCAGCAGCCGCGGUAAUACGUAUGGGGCAAGCGUUAUCCGGAAUCACUGGGUGUAAAGGGAGCGUAGACGGCUGUGCAAGCCUGAAGUGAAAGGCGGGGGCCCAACCCCUGGACUGCUUUGGGAACUGUACGGCUGGAGUGCAGGAGAG